RNAcentral lists this ribosomal RNA (253 nucleotides) under uncultured bacterium. Its description in RNAcentral is "partial 16S ribosomal RNA". It matches the Rfam family "Bacterial small subunit ribosomal RNA", at positions 524 to 776 of the family's 1533-position model. The record is from RNAcentral.
UACAGAGGUCUCAAGCGUUGUUCGGAUUCAUUGGGCGUAAAGGGUGCGUAGGCGGCGCGGUAAGUCGAGUGUGAAAUCUCGGAGCUUAACUCCGAAACUGCAUUCGAUACUGCCGUGCUUGAGGACUGGAGAGGAGACUGGAAUUUACGGUGUAGCGGUGAAAUGCGUAGAUAUCGUAAGGAAGACCAGUGGCGAAGGCGGGUCUCUGGACAGUUCCUGACGCUGAGGCACGAAGGCCAGGGGAGCAAACGGG